Molecule: non-coding RNA, 30 nt
Filed under: Rattus norvegicus (Norway rat)
Lineage: Eukaryota; Metazoa; Chordata; Mammalia; Rodentia; Muridae
Source: RNAcentral
UGGAGUUAUUGAUAAUCACUUGAACUCUAU